RNAcentral lists this ribosomal RNA (253 nucleotides) under Phocaeicola plebeius DSM 17135. Its description in RNAcentral is "partial 16S ribosomal RNA". It matches the Rfam family "Bacterial small subunit ribosomal RNA", at positions 524 to 776 of the family's 1533-position model. The record is from RNAcentral. Lineage: Bacteria; Pseudomonadati; Bacteroidota; Bacteroidia; Bacteroidales; Bacteroidaceae.
UACGGAGGAUGCGAGCGUUAUCCGGAUUUAUUGGGUUUAAAGGGAGCGCAGACGGGUCGUUAAGUCAGCUGUGAAAGUUUGGGGCUCAACCUUAAAAUUGCAGUUGAUACUGGCGUCCUUGAGUGCGGUUGAGGUGUGCGGAAUUCGUGGUGUAGCGGUGAAAUGCUUAGAUAUCACGAAGAACUCCGAUUGCGAAGGCAGCAUACUAAGCCGUAACUGACGUUCAUGCUCGAAAGUGUGGGUAUCAAACAGG